GGCGGCUUUAUUUUAUACACCGCAUCAAAUUCCUUCAGGACGCUGUCGUCGAGCAGGAGGUGAGCCGCAUUUACAUCGCACGUCACCUUCAUUCCUUUUGAUUUUGCCUCACGGAUCAGUGCCACACUUCCCUUGGAGGAGAUCGUCGAAAAAUGCAGCGGACGACCGGCAUACUCUGCAAUUGCAAGAUCACGAGUUAUCAUGACUUCUUCGGCAAUCGAUGGUAUUCCUUUUAAUCCAGUAAUCGUUCCGUUUAUCCCUUCAUGCACCUGGCCGUUAUGAGAAAUCAUUUUGUCAUCGGCAUAAGAAAAAAUUCUUCCAUCGAAAUUGCCGGAGUACUGCAACGCACGCAGCAAUAAGCCGGAGUCGGAAACGGGCCGCUUGUCGUCGGUAAAAACUU
RNAcentral lists this unclassified non-coding RNA (400 nucleotides) under uncultured fungus. RNAcentral's name for it is "sequence contains ITS1". Lineage: Eukaryota; Fungi. The record is from RNAcentral.